AAAAAUUAAGAAUCUGAAUACACGGUUAGAUUUGGCAUAUCAAAGAACCCCAAUAAUUCAUUUUUUGAUGAAAUCAAACAAAGUUUAAUUUUGGACCCUUUUGGCCCCUAAUUCAUUGGGACCAAAACUCCCAAAAUCAAUCCAAACCUUCCUUUCGUGGUCAUAAACCUUGUGUUAAAAUUUCAUAGAUUUCUGUUUACUUAUACUAAAGUUAUUGUGCAAAAACCAAGAAAAAUGCUUAUUUGGGACCUUUUUUGGCCCU
Molecule: long non-coding RNA, 262 nt
Filed under: Mytilus galloprovincialis (Mediterranean mussel)
Lineage: Eukaryota; Metazoa; Mollusca; Bivalvia; Mytilida; Mytilidae
Source: RNAcentral